ACAUUAGUGCCAGAGAAAUGGGUAGGCUUUAAGCGUCUAACAUGAAAUUAAUUUUCUAGUGUU
This 63-nucleotide transfer RNA is filed under the name Microcotyle sebastis. RNAcentral describes it as "tRNA-Leu". Lineage: Eukaryota; Metazoa; Platyhelminthes; Monogenea; Mazocraeidea; Microcotylidae. The record is from RNAcentral.